Molecule: long non-coding RNA, 574 nt
Filed under: Mytilus galloprovincialis (Mediterranean mussel)
Lineage: Eukaryota; Metazoa; Mollusca; Bivalvia; Mytilida; Mytilidae
Source: RNAcentral
GGUGUGUAAAUGUGUUACUUGUUUGCUCAGCAAGUCGGACAAACCUUGCAAACUGUUAACCCGAAUAAUUCAGUCGUUAUAUUCCGCUUACUACAUUAAGUAAGUAGGAGAGAUCGAUUACGGGGAGGGACUGAAUUAUUCGGGUUAGCAAACUGUAUGCAAAAUUUCACAAAUUUCAACAUUCUGUCAUUUGUGAAAAAUUAUUUACAUAACAAAUCUUGAGAUCAUAUAUGCAUUCUUUAUAUAAGUAAAACAACUGCGAAAUUUAAAAGUUCCAGCUUGAAAUUCAACCUGUAUCAGAUGUAAGCCGGAGUCUGUACUCUGUGUGCCUUUGUAUUUUAUCAAAAUGCCUAAUCCAGCAACCUGUCAUGAAACAAAAAAAAAAAAACUCCAGACGCAUAUGCGCACCUAUAAUAUGAGUAGUAACACCAGGUACAUAGUUUUAAAGCUGAAGCAAAACUACUGUAGUCCUAAAUAAUUAGCCGAAUUAACCCUAUAUAUACUAAGUGCGGGAUUAACGGUCGAACGGACAAAUGUUAAACAAUAUGAUGAUACGUGCUCUAUAAGUAAUUUG